CACGUAGGAGGCGAGCGUUGUCCGGAAUCAUUGGGCGUAAAGAGCGCGCAGGCGGCUUGGCAAGUCGGGUGUGAAAUCCCGGGGCUCAACCCCGUGACUGCAUCCGAUACUGUCAGGCUAGAGGUAGGUAGGGGAGAUCGGAAUUCCUGGUGUAGCGGUGAAAUGCGCAGAUAUCAGGAGGAACACCGGUGGCGAAGGCGACUACCUGGCCUGUUCUUGACGCUGAGGCGCGAAAGCUAGGGGAGCAAACGGG
RNAcentral lists this ribosomal RNA (253 nucleotides) under uncultured bacterium. Its description in RNAcentral is "partial 16S ribosomal RNA". It matches the Rfam family "Bacterial small subunit ribosomal RNA", at positions 524 to 776 of the family's 1533-position model. The record is from RNAcentral.